RNAcentral lists this small nucleolar RNA (193 nucleotides) under Erythranthe guttata (spotted monkey flower). RNAcentral describes it as "Mimulus guttatus (spotted monkey flower) Plant small nucleolar RNA U3". It matches the Rfam family "Plant small nucleolar RNA U3". From Rfam's summary of the family: Small nucleolar RNAs (snoRNAs) are involved in the processing and modification of rRNA in the nucleolus. The record is from Rfam by way of RNAcentral. Lineage: Eukaryota; Viridiplantae; Streptophyta; Magnoliopsida; Lamiales; Phrymaceae.
ACGACCUUACUUGAACAGGAUCUGUUCUAUAGGCUCGUACCUCUGUAUCCUUGAUUUCUAAGGAGACAGGAAACUAUGUCUGGUGGAAACCCGAAACCCGAAAACUCGAAUGCUCAGGCCAGCUGACGCAGUAGAGGAUCAUUCUUGGUUAGCUUCGGCUGGCUGGGGUGGUCGAGCAGCUGUCUGACAGACU